CCUACGGGAGGCAGCAGUGAGGAAUAUUGGUCAAUGAGCGCGAGCCUGAACCAGCCAAGUCGCGUGAGGGAAGACGGUCCUAUGGAUUGUAAACCUCUUUUGUCGGGGAGCAAAAGACGCCACGCGUGGCGUUCCGAGAGUACCCGAAGAAAUAGCAUCGGCGAACUCCGUGCCAGCAGCCGCGGUAAUACGGAGGAUGCGAGCGUUAUACGGAUUUAUUGGGUUUAAAGGGUGCGCAGGCGGAAGAUCAAGUCAGGGGUAAAAUUGAGAGGCUCAACCUCGUCGCGCCGUUGAUACUGGUUAACUAGAGUGAGUGAGAGGUAUGCGGAAUGCGUGGUGUAGCGGUGAAAUGCAUAGAUAUCACGCAGAACUCCGAUUGCGAAGGCAGCAUACCGGCGCUCAACUGACGCUCAUGGACGAAAGUGUGGGUAGCGAACAGGAUUAGAUACCCUUGUAGUC
This 459-nucleotide ribosomal RNA is filed under the name uncultured bacterium. RNAcentral's name for it is "partial 16S ribosomal RNA". It matches the Rfam family "Bacterial small subunit ribosomal RNA", at positions 338 to 795 of the family's 1533-position model. The record is from RNAcentral.